RNAcentral lists this ribosomal RNA (807 nucleotides) under uncultured Streptococcus sp. Its description in RNAcentral is "bacterial SSU rRNA". It matches the Rfam family "Bacterial small subunit ribosomal RNA", at positions 28 to 818 of the family's 1533-position model. The record is from RNAcentral. Lineage: Bacteria; Bacillati; Bacillota; Bacilli; Lactobacillales; Streptococcaceae.
GACGAACGCUGGCGGCGUGCCUAAUACAUGCAAGUAGAACGCUGAAGAGAGGAGCUUGCUCUUCUUGGAUGAGUUGCGAACGGGUGAGUAACGCGUAGGUAACCUGCCUGGUAGCGGGGGAUAACUAUUGGAAACGAUAGCUAAUACCGCAUAAAAUUGAUUAUUGCAUGAUAAUCCAUUGAAAGGUGCAACUGCACCACUACCAGAUGGACCUGCGUUGUAUUAGCUAGUUGGUGGGGUAACGGCUCACCAAGGCGACGAUACAUAGCCGACCUGAGAGGGUGAUCGGCCACACUGGGACUGAGACACGGCCCAGACUCCUACGGGAGGCAGCAGUAGGGAAUCUUCGGCAAUGGACGGAAGUCUGACCGAGCAACGCCGCGUGAGUGAAGAAGGUUUUCGGAUCGUAAAGCUCUGUUGUAAGAGAAGAACGAGUGUGAGAGUGGAAAGUUCACACUGUGACGGUAUCUUACCAGAAAGGGACGGCUAACUACGUGCCAGCAGCCGCGGUAAUACGUAGGUCCCGAGCGUUGUCCGGAUUUAUUGGGCGUAAAGCGAGCGCAGGCGGUUAGAUAAGUCUGAAGUUAAAGGCUGUGGCUUAACCAUAGUACGCUUUGGAAACUGUUUAACUUGAGUGCAAGAGGGGAGAGUGGAAUUCCAUGUGUAGCGGUGAAAUGCGUAGAUAUAUGGAGGAACACCGGUGGCGAAAGCGGCUCUCUGGCUUGUAACUGACGCUGAGGCUCGAAUGCUUGGGGAGCAAACAGGAGUAGAUACCCUGGUAUUCCAGGGUUAUUCCUCUUUGGAUAU